Molecule: unclassified non-coding RNA, 104 nt
Organism: Otolemur garnettii (small-eared galago)
Lineage: Eukaryota; Metazoa; Chordata; Mammalia; Primates; Galagidae
Rfam family: Y RNA
About the family: Y RNAs are components of the Ro ribonucleoprotein particle (Ro RNP), in association with Ro60 and La proteins. The Y RNAs and Ro60 and La proteins are well conserved, but the function of the Ro RNP is not known. In humans the RNA component can be one of four small RNAs -- hY1, hY3, hY4 and hY5.
Source: Ensembl
AGCUGGUCCAGAAGUAGUGACUUAUCUCACUUGAUUGUUCACAGUCAGUUACAGACUGAACUCCUUGUUCUACUCUUCCGGUUGCUGCACUUGACCAGUUUAAA